AGUAUUUUGACUAUACAAAGGUAUUGAAAUAAGACUUUAAUUGAGUGCUAAGAGAAUGGAAUUUCAUAAAAUUUCUUUUUUAAUUUUAAAAAUUGAAAUUAAUUUUAUAUGUGAAGAAACAAUAAUAAAAAUUAGGGACAAGAAGACCCUAAGAAUUUUAAAGAUUUUAAUAAAAUUUUGUAUUUUAUUGAAAUCUUUUAAUUGGGGCGAUUAUUAAAUAUUAAAAACUUUAAUUUUUUUAAAAAAGAACCAAUAAUAUUGGUUAUUUGAAAAAAUACUCUAGGGAUAACAGCGUAAUAAUUUUUGAUAGUUCUUAUAGACAAAAUAGUUUGCGACCUCGAUGUUGGAUUAGGAUUCUUUUUUAAUGAAGAAGUUAAAAAAAGAAGUUUGUUCAACUUUUAAAAUCCU
This 408-nucleotide ribosomal RNA is filed under the name Amblyomma triste. RNAcentral describes it as "partial 16S ribosomal RNA". The record is from RNAcentral. Lineage: Eukaryota; Metazoa; Arthropoda; Arachnida; Ixodida; Ixodidae.